AGUGCCACAAGAGGGAGCUCGUAGGCGGGCUGAGAGGAAGUCAUCAACUUCGACCUUUAUAACCUGAUUUGGGUAAUGCCAACGUAGGGAUUUAUAUGGGAUGAUUGU
The sequence is a regulatory RNA element, 108 nucleotides long. It matches the Rfam family "TPP riboswitch aptamer (THI element)". From Rfam's summary of the family: Vitamin B(1) in its active form thiamin pyrophosphate (TPP) is an essential coenzyme that is synthesised by coupling of pyrimidine and thiazole moieties in bacteria. The previously detected thiamin-regulatory element, thi box was extended, resulting in a new, highly conserved RNA secondary structure, the THI element, which is widely distributed in eubacteria and also occurs in some archaea. Analysis of operon structures identified a large number of new candidate thiamin-regulated genes, mostly transporters, in various prokaryotic organisms. The record is from Rfam.